Molecule: ribosomal RNA, 253 nt
Filed under: uncultured bacterium
Lineage: Bacteria
Description: partial 16S ribosomal RNA
Rfam family: Bacterial small subunit ribosomal RNA
Source: RNAcentral
UACGUAGGGAGCAAGCGUUGUCCGGAAUCACUGGGCGUAAAGGGCGCGUAGGCGGCAAUUCAAGUCAGCUGUGAAAUCUCCGGGCUUAACUCGGAACGGUCAGCUGAUACUGCUUUGCUAGAGUGCAGAAGGGGCAAUCGGAAUUCUUGGUGUAGCGGUGAAAUGCGUAGAUAUCAAGAGGAACACCUGAGGUGAAGACGGGUUGCUGGGCUGACACUGACGCUGAGGCGCGAAAGCUAGGGUAGCAAACGGG